GUGCAUGUAGCUCAGUGGAUAGAGCACCCGUUUUCUAAGCUGAAGGUCGUAGGUUCGACCCCUACCUGGCGCG
RNAcentral lists this transfer RNA (73 nucleotides) under Nicotiana sylvestris (wood tobacco). It matches the Rfam family "tRNA". Rfam says of the family: Transfer RNA (tRNA) molecules are approximately 80 nucleotides in length. Their secondary structure includes four short double-helical elements and three loops (D, anti-codon, and T loops). The record is from Rfam by way of RNAcentral. RNAcentral also lists the same sequence under 1 other name. Lineage: Eukaryota; Viridiplantae; Streptophyta; Magnoliopsida; Solanales; Solanaceae.